This 292-nucleotide unclassified non-coding RNA is filed under the name uncultured Ascomycota. Its description in RNAcentral is "sequence contains ITS1". The stretch from base 1 to 105 matches the Rfam family "5.8S ribosomal RNA", at positions 50 to 154 of the family's 154-position model. Lineage: Eukaryota; Fungi; Ascomycota. The record is from RNAcentral.
GAAAUGCGAUAAGUAAUGUGAAUUGCAGAAUUCAGUGAAUCAUCGAAUCUUUGAACGCACAUUGCGCCCCGUGGUAUUCCGCGGGGCAUGCCUGUUCGAGCGUCAUUAUGACCAAUCCCGCUCGCGGGGUCUUGGGCACCGCCUCCGGGCGGGCCUCAAAACCAGUGGCGGUCCGGCCGGGCUCUGAGCGUAGUAAAUCUUCUCGCUACAGGGUCCCGGGCGGCACUGGCCAGCAACCCCCAAUCUUUCACAGGUUGACCUCGGAUCAGGUAGGGAUACCCGCUGAACUUAA